UUCCGUAGGGUGAACCUGCGGAGGGAUCAUUACCGAGUUUACAACUCCCAAACCCCUGUGAACAUACCUAUACGUUGCCUCGGCGGAUCAGCCCGCGCCCCGUAAAACGGGACGGCCCGCCCGAGGACCCUAAACUCUGUUUUUAGUGGAACUUCUGAGUAAAACAAACAAAUAAAUCAAAACUUUCAACAACGGAUCUCUUGGUUCUGGCAUCGAUGAAGAACGCAGCAAAAUGCGAUAAGUAAUGUGAAUUGCAGAAUUCAGUGAAUCAUCGAAUCUUUGAACGCACAUUGCGCCCGCCAGUAUUCUGGCGGGCAUGCCUGUUCGAGCGUCAUUUCAACCCUCAAGCUCUGCUUGGUGUUGGGACUCGCGGUAACCCGCGUUCCCCAAAUCGAUUGGCGGUCACGUCGAGCUUCCAUAGCGUAGUAAUCAUACACCUCGUUACUGGUAAUCGUCGCGGCCACGCCGUAAAACCCCAACUUCUGAAUGUGACCUCGGAUCAGGUAGAAGACCCCUCCC
Molecule: ribosomal RNA, 519 nt
Filed under: Fusarium chlamydosporum
Lineage: Eukaryota; Fungi; Ascomycota; Sordariomycetes; Hypocreales; Nectriaceae
Description: eukaryotic LSU rRNA
Rfam family: 5.8S ribosomal RNA (bases 181-334)
Source: RNAcentral